This 460-nucleotide ribosomal RNA is filed under the name uncultured bacterium. RNAcentral describes it as "bacterial SSU rRNA". It matches the Rfam family "Bacterial small subunit ribosomal RNA", at positions 338 to 795 of the family's 1533-position model. The record is from RNAcentral.
CCUANGGGAGGCUGCAGUAGGGAAUAUUGGACAAUGGGCGAAAGCCUGAUCCAGCCAUGCCGCGUGGAGGAUGACGGCCCUCUGGGUUGUAAACUCCUUUUAUCAGGGAAGAAAAAGCAGGACUUGUCCUGAACUGACGGUACCUGAGGAAUAAGCACCGGCUAACUCCGUGCCAGCAGCCGCGGUAAUACGGAGGGUGCAAGCGUUAUCCGGAUUUACUGGGUUUAAAGGGUGCGUAGGCGGGUUGAUAAGUCAGUGGUGAAAUACCCGAGCUUAACUUGGGAACUGCCAUUGAUACUGUCAAUCUUGAAUUUGGUAGAGGUGGGCGGAAUAUAACAUGUAGCGGUGAAAUGCUUAGAUAUGUUAUAGAACGCCAAUUGCGUAGGCAGCUCACUAUGCCAACAUUGACGCUGAGGCACGAAAGCGUGGGUAGCGAACAGGAUUAGAUACCCUGNUANUC